AGAACUUUGUCAGGCUUGAGGAAGGAAAUCUAUGCAUGCCUGAAGAAGACAUCAAUUUCACUAAAAAUCCAGACUCACCGGAAGGACAGUUUCAUGUACCAUCAUAGUCUGUUGACAGCAAUGAUCUCAGGCUUUUCCUAGAGCCCAGUGAAACAGUCUUCAGAUGAUGACAGUGAAGAGGCAAUCUUUGAAGAUUUGGAUUUUGCAGAAGAGGAUGACACUGAACCAGAUACAACUAAUGGCAAUGACUCAAGGCAGUUACUUGUAAAGCUCCUAGCAUUCAUGUUUUUAAAAUGGCAAGCUGUGUUCAACAUAUCGGACAAUGCCAUCACUGCAUUGCUGCAAUGCCUAUGACUUACUUAGCACUUUUGCUGAUAUGAUUCCGAAGACUUUACAUACACUAAGGACAUUAAGCAGUAUUAACGGAGACAACUUCUGCAAAUAUGCUGUAUGUCCCAAGUGUAAGACAACAUAUACACUUGCUGAAUGUUGUCACAUCACCAGGAAUGGUUCAACUACCAGAAAAACAUGUGGAUAUAUUCCAUUUUAUAAGCAUCCACACAAGACAUCUGGAGAAAGAAAUGUGGCUCUCUCCUAAUGAGCAAAGUUACAUGUUUCAAUGGCACAGAAAGUCUUUACCCCCCAAAAAAACUAUUGUCAUAAAAAAGUAAUUCAGUCUUUGGAAACUUUGAUUAGAAGACCUGGAUUUUUGGAAAAGUGUGAGAAGUGGAGACAAAUCCCAAACCCCAUAGUGGCAGAUGUAUAUGAUGGACCGAUUUGUGCAGACUUUCAGUAUGUUAAUGGACAGCUGUUUUUAGCAGAACCAAACAAUUUUGCUCUCAAGAAGAAUCUUGAUUGGUAUCAACCCUUCAAGAGUUCCCCAUGUUCAGUAGGGGUCAUAUAUCUGGCCAUUUUGAAUUUGCCACGAGAGGAGUGUUUUAAGGAGGAGAACAUAAUUUUAGUUGGAGCUAUACCAGGGCCUACAGAACCAAAGAACAACAUUAACACUUAUCUUCACCAUCUGGUUGAUGAGCUUCGUGAGCUGUGGGAUGGAGUUCCCAUAUUUGAUUCUUCAUUUUUGGGGUGCCAGGUCUACAGAGCUGCACUUCUGUGCGUUUCAUCAGACAUUCCAGCUUCACGCAGGUGUGGUGGCUUUGUGGGCCAUGGAGCCUUAAGAGGAUGUAACAAAUGCCUGAAAACAUUCAAGAAGACAUAAUUUGGGGGGAAAACAGACUUCUCUGGCUUUGACCUUUCAUCCUGGGUCCCACGCACUUCAGAGGAACACAAGAGGAAUGCUAAAAUGACUGGAAAAGACUGGAAGCCCCAAAAAGACUGGAAGUUCAAUAUGGUGCCAGGUGGUCUGAACUAUUUCACCUUAAGUAUUAUGAUGCCAUAAGAUUUGUUGUCAUCGACCAAAUCUAUAAUCUACUUCUUGGAACAGCCAGGCACAUAUUCAGGUUAUGGACUGAGCUUGGUGUUUUAAAGGGGUACUCCAUCCCAAAAUGAAAAUUUUAUCAUUAUUCACUUACCCUUGUGUCGUUCCAAACGCGUAAAAGCUUUGUUCAUCUUUGAAACACAACUUAAGAUAUUUUGGAUAAAAACCUUGAGACUGUCCCAUAAACUGCCAAAUAAAUAAGUGUCAAGGUCCAGGAAAGUAUGAAAAGCAUCAUCAGAAUAGUCCAUCUGCCAUCAGUGAUUCAACCGUAAUGUUAUGAAGCGACGAGAAUACUUUUUGUACACGAAGAAAACAAAAAUAACAACUUUAUUCAACAAUUCCUCUCCUCUGUGUCUCUCCAAAUCAGCAUAGUGCCAUUUUGGCAAAUCUGAGCUGUACGCGAACAAAUUUUAAUUUUGCGGUGGAGUAACCCUUAAGCGCUCAAAAGCUUGAUGGAAAAAAAAGAAUAGACUCUUUUUAAAGGUGCCUCAGGAAGUGGGAAGGAUUG
Long non-coding RNA from Cyprinus carpio carpio, 1943 nucleotides. Lineage: Eukaryota; Metazoa; Chordata; Actinopteri; Cypriniformes; Cyprinidae. The record is from Ensembl.